GAGGGUAUAGCUCAGUGGCAGAGCACAUGCUUAGCAUGCACGAGGUCCUGGGUUCCAUCCCCGGUACCUCCU
RNAcentral lists this transfer RNA (72 nucleotides) under Camelus bactrianus (Bactrian camel). It matches the Rfam family "tRNA". From Rfam's summary of the family: Transfer RNA (tRNA) molecules are approximately 80 nucleotides in length. Their secondary structure includes four short double-helical elements and three loops (D, anti-codon, and T loops). RNAcentral also lists the same sequence under 2 other names. The record is from Rfam by way of RNAcentral. Lineage: Eukaryota; Metazoa; Chordata; Mammalia; Artiodactyla; Camelidae.